AUACGUAGGGUGCGAGCGUUGUCCGGAAUUACUGGGCGUAAAGAGCUCGUAGGUGGUUUGUCGCGUCGUCUGUGAAAUUCCGGGGCUUAACUCCGGGCGUGCAGGCGAUACGGGCAUAACUUGAGUACUGUAGGGGAGACUGGAAUUCCUGGUGUAGCGGUGAACUGCGCAGAUAUCAGGAGGAACACCGGUGGCGAAGGGGGGUCUCUGGGAAGUAACUGACGCUGAGGAGCGAAAGCAUGGGUAGCGAACAGGAUUAGAUUCCCUGGUAGUCCAUGCCGUAAACGGUGGGCGCUAGGUGUAGGGGUCUUCCACGACUUCUGUGCCGUAGCUAACGCAUUAAGCGCCCCGCCUGGGGAGUACGGCCGCAAGGCUAAAACUUAAAGGAAUUGACGGGG
Molecule: ribosomal RNA, 398 nt
Filed under: uncultured bacterium
Lineage: Bacteria
Description: partial 16S ribosomal RNA
Rfam family: Bacterial small subunit ribosomal RNA
Source: RNAcentral